Molecule: ribosomal RNA, 572 nt
Filed under: Flavobacterium sp. Ri1Pw_5724
Lineage: Bacteria; Pseudomonadati; Bacteroidota; Flavobacteriia; Flavobacteriales; Flavobacteriaceae
Description: bacterial SSU rRNA
Rfam family: Bacterial small subunit ribosomal RNA
Source: RNAcentral
CAGGAAGAAACAGUUCUACGUGUAGAACCUUGACGGUACUGUAAGAAUAAGGAUCGGCUAACUCCGUGCCAGCAGCCGCGGUAAUACGGAGGAUCCAAGCGUUAUCCGGAAUCAUUGGGUUUAAAGGGUCCGUAGGCGGUUAGAUAAGUCAGUGGUGAAAGCCCAUCGCUCAACGGUGGAACGGCCAUUGAUACUGUCUGACUUGAAUUAUUAGGAAGUAACUAGAAUAUGUAGUGUAGCGGUGAAAUGCUUAGAGAUUACAUGGAAUACCAAUUGCGAAGGCAGGUUACUACUAAUGGAUUGACGCUGAUGGACGAAAGCGUGGGUAGCGAACAGGAUUAGAUACCCUGGUAGUCCACGCCGUAAACGAUGGAUACUAGCUGUUGGGCGCAAGUUCAGUGGCUAAGCGAAAGUGAUAAGUAUCCCACCUGGGGAGUACGUUCGCAAGAAUGAAACUCAAAGGAAUUGACGGGGGCCCGCACAAGCGGUGGAGCAUGUGGUUUAAUUCGAUGAUACGCGAGGAACCUUACCAAGGCUUAAAUGUAGUUUGACCGGUUUGGAAACAGAUCUUU